This is a long non-coding RNA of Dendrobium catenatum, 187 nucleotides long. RefSeq lists it as uncharacterized. NCBI's taxonomy places the organism in Eukaryota, Viridiplantae, Streptophyta, Magnoliopsida, Asparagales, Orchidaceae. The transcript has 3 exons. The record is from RefSeq and is a predicted model, not a curated record.
UUUUAGUUUUGAUUUUGUGCUCGUACUGAUACUGCUUUGUAUUUUGUGCAGGCUACUACAGGAAGGGGAUCCGAGCUUCAGCCAGUUUACUGCUUCAGGAGACUUCAGUUUUGGUUUCGAGAGGAGCGGGAUACUUGCUCGUGAGCCACCUCAGGAGACUUCUGUUUCAGGUCUUAGAAGUGCAGAA